Molecule: long non-coding RNA, 876 nt
Filed under: Heterocephalus glaber (naked mole-rat)
Lineage: Eukaryota; Metazoa; Chordata; Mammalia; Rodentia; Bathyergidae
Description: lncRNA (ENSHGLG00100046949.1)
Source: RNAcentral
GGGAAAGGACUGUUCUGACUGCCAUGCUGAGAACGGCUCCAGGGCGCAGAGCGAUCACAUCAGAUGGGGGUUAUUGCCAUCAUCCCCGCUCGCUCGAGAGGAGGAAGUGGGCUGGAAUGGGGUCGAGGUGAGCCUGGUGCUGGUGAGAAGAGGAGCAUAUGAUUUGAAAGAAGAGACAAUAGGAUUCACUGAAAGACAAAAAGAAUCGAUAUUAAACUGCAGAAGAAUUGAAAUAAAUUUUGAGGAAAAUUUCACAACAAUGAGAGUUAAACAUUGGAAGGCUAUUCUGCCUGCCUUCGGGACUGAGUUCAUCAGCCCUGACUUCUGGCCCCUUGGCAGUUGGUGCAUGUUGAAGAAGGAGGAGACUUCACAAGGAAGUUCUCACUUGAACACUCACUAGUGCUGUACGCAGGGUUUGGCUCUCUUGGACUCCUCAGAGCCUCGCUUUUGGGGACUUCUUGUCUACCGCACCUCAGCAUGUGCAUUACUCUUCAUGUGGGGUUCUGCAACUCCCUAGGAAUUCCAAGUCCACCUCCAGUUUCUCCUGGCCAGGAUCCCUUUUCUCUCCUGGAGAUCCAAGCCAAUACCAACCCCAGAGCUCUCUCCCAUAGGAAACUUUCAUUUAACUUUCGUCCUGAGCAGUGGAGCCCCAGGGCUGCCCUUGGAGCAGCUGGCCCAUCGCACGCUCUGGAUCCCCAUGGCAAUUUGAACUCCUCUCUGCGGUCCCACAUGGUUAACUCUCUCCCAACAUCUGCUGAAGCUGGCGCCCCUGUUUGCAGCGUCCGUGACACGUGGGUGCCACAGUGCACAGUGCCCUCGGGUGUUGGUGGGCGUGCAGCAUUUCUACAGCUCUCCCGCACACCUGCUCCUUCGUGG